Molecule: non-coding RNA, 261 nt
Organism: Vicia faba (fava bean)
Lineage: Eukaryota; Viridiplantae; Streptophyta; Magnoliopsida; Fabales; Fabaceae
Source: the annotation of a GenBank genome assembly
AUGGAAGGUGAAGAGGAAAUUGUUGUUGUGGUUUGGAAUUGUGAGAUUAAUAUCAGAGAUGUUAGGCAACGAUUUAGAGAGAGGGCAGUAACAGGUUUAGGCAGCAUGUGGAGCAGGAUUUUGGACUGUAGGGGCAGCAACAGGGCUGACUUUUGGACAGCUUGUGCAAUUUUUUUAGACUAUUUUGGACAGUUGUUCUUAGACUGUGAUUGGCAACAUUAUUCAGCAGAAAAAAGGAGCAGCAUCAAGGUUACUUUGUAA